AAAGUAGUGUGCAGCCAAGGAUGACUUGCCGAUUUAAAUGAUCUUUCUUUAUACUCUAUUAAGACAAUUUAGUUUCAAACUUUUUUUUUUUUUUUGGUUUUUGAAGGAUUCAGGAAGAAAUUAGGAUAUAUUAUUCCGUAUAAAAUACAAGAUAUAUAAAACCAAAAAGAAAAAGUAACAUGAUCGGCAAGUUGUCCUUGGCUACACGUUACUUUGU
Arabidopsis suecica is the source of this 217-nucleotide non-coding RNA. Lineage: Eukaryota; Viridiplantae; Streptophyta; Magnoliopsida; Brassicales; Brassicaceae. The record is from the annotation of a GenBank genome assembly.